UACGGAGGGGGCUAGCGUUGUUCGGAAUUACUGGGCGUAAAGCGCGCGUAGGCGGAUCUGCAAGUCGGGGGUGAAAUCCCGAGGCUCAACCUCGGAACUGCCUUCGAUACUGCGGGUCUCGAGUCCGGGAGAGGUGAGUGGAAUUCCUAGUGUAGAGGUGAAAUUCGUAGAUAUUGGGAAGAACACCAGUGGCGAAGGCGGCUCACUGGCCCGGUACUGACGCUGAGGCGCGAAAGCGUGGGGAGCAAACAGG
RNAcentral lists this ribosomal RNA (253 nucleotides) under uncultured bacterium. RNAcentral's name for it is "partial 16S ribosomal RNA". It matches the Rfam family "Bacterial small subunit ribosomal RNA", at positions 524 to 776 of the family's 1533-position model. The record is from RNAcentral.